AUACUUCUUUUGAGCUCUGAUUUUGAAGAUGUCGACAAGCAGGAAGCAAUGUUCUAUCGCGGUGUUGCUGCUGCUAGUGCUCGUCCAACUCAUCGGUGCUCUCGCUCGACCUCCAUGCGAUUAUCUUCGUCCAGGAACCUGUCACUAUAACAAACCAUGAGGUGAAGCUGGAAAAUUGUGUGGAUGCUGCUUCGUUGGGUUAUAUUGCCUUAUUGGAUUAUUCGGUUUCUUUAUAGAAAUAUCCGUACUGUUCAGUUUGUUGGCAAUCUAAAAUAUGUAAAGUUUAAAAUCUCUCUAGGGUGCAUUUUGACGGAAUUCUGAAUCCAUUGUUAAUUUUGGUGACCAGUAUUUCCUGGUACAAACGUUUACGUCUAUGGGACACAAAUGCAUGUGCGACACAUUGAUUUACCUUGGGAAAAUUAUAUACUUCACAUGAUUUAAACUUU
Long non-coding RNA from Triticum dicoccoides, 446 nucleotides. RefSeq lists it as uncharacterized. NCBI's taxonomy places the organism in Eukaryota, Viridiplantae, Streptophyta, Magnoliopsida, Poales, Poaceae. The record is from RefSeq and is a predicted model, not a curated record. The transcript is spliced from 2 exons.